This 75-nucleotide transfer RNA is filed under the name Nepenthes vieillardii. Its description in RNAcentral is "partial tRNA-His". The record is from RNAcentral. Lineage: Eukaryota; Viridiplantae; Streptophyta; Magnoliopsida; Caryophyllales; Nepenthaceae.
CCGCCCCUCUAGUAUUUACUUGCUAGUAUUUACUUGCAAAUGAUUCAAUUUCCACUUCCACUAUUGAUUAAUUUA